ACUGAGCAUUGUGUCCAGGUGGUACAGGCUGAAAGAAAACAUUGGAUUAAUCUACUCAUGCAGGAUAGAAAUCAUAAAAUACCAGCUGAGACUGUAUACAAGAAUUCAUUUUCCAAAUGUCCACAAUCUAAAAUAUGCUAAUAUGCCUUUUGAAUUGCCUGGAGCUGUGAACAUCCUUCAGUUUUGAUCUGGAGCUUGGGAGAAGAGCCUGAUCCCUACCUCACUAGUGGCUUUGAAAAGAAACAAGAAACUCUAAUGAAGGUUUAGAAGUGAGGAUUUAACUUCUUAACUUGAGAAUUUUCUUGUUCUGUUCUCCACAGUACAAUGGGAUACAGUGAAGAAAUGUCUGUGGAAUAAAAAUGUACACUUUACCUUCUGCAAAGAAAAUACUC
This is a long non-coding RNA of Corvus hawaiiensis (hawaiian crow), 392 nucleotides long. RefSeq lists it as uncharacterized. The record is from RefSeq and is a predicted model, not a curated record. NCBI's taxonomy places the organism in Eukaryota, Metazoa, Chordata, Aves, Passeriformes, Corvidae. The transcript is spliced from 3 exons.